RNAcentral lists this ribosomal RNA (3780 nucleotides) under Triticum aestivum (bread wheat). RNAcentral's name for it is "partial small subunit ribosomal RNA". The record is from RNAcentral. Lineage: Eukaryota; Viridiplantae; Streptophyta; Magnoliopsida; Poales; Poaceae.
AUGGAGCUGAGUCCAAUCAGCGCUUCGUUGGGCGCCAUGGGCUCCCUUCCGCGCAAGCUCGACGAGCUCCUUGCGACCAAACACCGGGCUCUGCGGGGGGUUCUGAUGGAUGAUAUCGAUCAACUCAGGGCUCAUCUUUGCAUCCUAUACAACUUCAUGCUGAAGCUCUCUGAUGCGCCGCAGGACCCUCCUAUGUUUGUGAGGUACUGGAUGAAGGAUGUGCGCGAGCUAUCCUAUGACAUGGAGGACUUUGCCGACCAAUUCGUCCAUGCUCAUGGCCGUGCCAAGAUCCCUAGAGCUAAUCACCGCAAAAAUAAAACCCGUUCUCGGGUAAAGAUUGACCGCCUUCCAAAGAGGCACAAGUGGCGACCUGGGAUCACCCACAAAAUUUCAGAAUUCAGGUCUCGAGCAUAUGAGGCGAUUCAGCGCUACUGGAGGUACAAGUUUGAUGAUUGCGCCGCCAAUCCUAGGUACUCACCUAUUGGCCAUGGCCGUCCAACUAUUUUGCCACAUCCUGAUGACCUUGUUGGCAUAGAAGGACCAUCAAAUGAGCUCGAGCGGUGGUUGAUCAAUGGAGAGGAGCAGCUCAAGGUGGUGUCCAUUGUCGGUGGUGCAGGAAUCGGUAAGACCACUCUUGCCUUGAAGUUGUGGGGUACACUCCGUGGACAAUUCGAGUGUGGGGCAUUUGUUCGGACAGCACAAAAGCCCGAUAUGAGACGUAUUCUCAGGAACAUACUCUUGCAAGUUCGACCGCACCAAUCUCCCAACCAUGGUGAGAUGCGCCACCUAAUUAACGACCUCAGAGAGUAUCUACAAGACAAGAGGUACUUUCUUAUAAUUGAUGAUUUAUGGGCUACCUCGGUAUGGGAUGUGGUUAGUCGCGCAUUUCCAAAGGGUGGUUGCAGCAGAAUAAUAACUACGACAGAGAGUAUGGAAGUAGCUCUCGCAUGCUGUUGUUUUUGCCCUGAGCACAUUUUUAAAAUGGAACCUCUUAGUGAUAAUGACUCAGAGAAAUUACUGCUCCAAAGAAUCCUUGUCUCAGGAAAUCAAAGUCCGCAACAGUUUGAAGAUGUUAUACCUCAGAUUAUUAGAAGUUGUGGUGGCUUGCCAUUAGCAAUCAUCAUUGUAGCCAGAAUUUUAGCAAGCCAACCUGAGAAACUAGACCAAUGGGGCAGUGCACAGAAUUCUUUUCAUUCCAUUUUUGGGACAAAUCCUAACAAGGAAGGGUUUAUGGGACAAAUAUUGGACAUUUGUUUCAAUAGUCUUCCACAUUAUUUGAAGACAUGUCUGCUCUAUCUUAGUACAUAUCCAGAGGGCUACCUAUUCUCAAAAAAUGAUUUGAUGAAGCAAUGGGUAGCUGAGGGUUUAAUAUGUGCAAACAAAGGUGAAGACAUGGAGGAAGUUGCCGGGAGCUAUUUUGGUGAGCUUGUCAGUAUGGGCCUGAUCCAAGUUAUGGAUAUCACCAAUGAUUUUGAGUUCUUGUCUUAUUCAGUACACCAGCUGGUACUUGAUCUCAUUACAUACAAGUCCAUUGAAGAUAACUUCAUCACUAUGGUGGAUUAUUCGCAAACAACAACACCACUUACUGAUAAAAUUCGUCGAUUGUCGCUACACUUUGGUAGUGCAGCAUAUGCAACGACACCAGCAAGUACCAGAUUAUCACAAGCACGAUCACUCUUCUUUUCUGGACUGUUUACUAGCAUGCCUUUAUUCAUAUUUUUUAAGCUUCUUCGAGUCCUAAUCCUUCAUAUUUGGGAUGAUACUGGAGCCAAGAUGUUGAACGUUACAGGAAUUUGUGAACUUUUUUGGCUGAGAUAUUUGCAGGUCACAUGUAAUGUCACUGUAAAGCUACCAGAUAAGAUUGAAGCAAUGAAACACCUGGAGACACUGGAAAUAAAUGCAAGAAUACUUGAUGUUCCACCGGAUAUUGUUAGACUUUCGAGCUUGUUGCAUCUCUGCCUCCGAGGUGCAAAUCUACCUAAUGGUAUUGGGUGCAUCAGAUCUCUACGUACGCUCAUGUAUUUUGACAUUGGCAAUAGCUCCGAAGACAACCUAUGGGGCCUUGGUGAGCUGACAAACCUGCAGGAUCUUCAUCUCACUUAUUCUUCAUCACCCUCUAGUGAACAUUUGAAGAGAAAUCUGGUAGCUUUGGCCUCUUCACUUCGGAAACUUUGCAACCUCAAAUCGUUCACUCUUGCUCCUGGUAUUGCUGGAACUGUUGUUCUUUUUGAUGGCUCAAGCAGCAUGCCUACUCCCAUGUUUCUAGAGAAACUUGAGUUGUUGCCGCCCAUUUGCAUCUUUUCUAGACUUCCCAGGUGGAUCGGACAACUCCACAAAACCUGCAUUAUGAAAGUUGCUGUCAGAGAAUUGCCGACAAUUGAUAUUGCCAUCCUUGCCGGAUUACCUUCCCUCACAGUUCUCUCACUAUCUGUUCAUGCAGCUCCUGAGGGAAGGGUCGUCUUCAACGAUAGGGAAUUCCCAGUUCUCAAGUAUUUUAAGUUUAGAUGUGGUGUACUUUGCAUGCAUUUUAUGCCAGGAGCCAUGCCCAAUCUGCAAAGACUCAAGUUAGGUUUCAACACACAUAUUGGGGAGAAGUAUGACAAUAUGCUUGCUGGAAUUGAGCACCUCUUAAACCUCCACGACAUUGCUGGGAAAAUAGGAGCUACCACCGAGUCUGAAUGGAGUGCUGCAGAGUCAGCAAUCAACAAUGCCAUAAACAAGCAUCCAAGGUUUCCUAGACGUAACUUACAAUGGGUGGAUCCAGUCGAGGAAAAAUGUUGUCCUUCGGAAAAACAUCAUUUGAGACAAGAAAAAGGCACAGUAGGUGAAAAACAUGGGGUUCUAGAGAAAGCGAUUGAUAUGAACAAACAUGCGGACACUGGGUUGUCUCAACCUCCCAAUCUGCCAUCAAAUGUCGCUUCAGGUCGCCUGGAAUCAGGUAGUUUAGUUGACGAAUUACAAGAGUUUUCAGCACCAUCAUUGCCCUGUAAGGUAAGUUGCCCCCUUUGCAAAGAAACCUUACAACGGGAAAUAUUGGAUCUUCAUAAAAGUGAACAGUGCACACAGAGGUUGCUUGUAUGUCAAUAUUGUGAGUACCAAUUGCCUGCAAUUGAACUUCAUGAACAUCAGGCUGUAUGUGUACUUGCAACAGUGUUUUGUGAAACAUGCAAGAAGAAUAUUAGAUAUCGUGAGUGGUUAGGCCACGAAAUGCAGUGUUACGACUCAAAUGAUUCUGCAGAAUUAUCAAGAUUGCCUCAGCUGCCCGAUCUGCCAUCAACUGUGGCUUCAGGUCGCCUGGAGUCAGGUAUGGUUCUUCAGGAAUCAAAAAAUGAGUCGUCAUCAGCACCAUCGUGGCCCCUCAAGGUUUGGCGCUCUGCGGAACAGGAGAGGUGGAUGCCGUUGCCGUAUGGGGGAGAAGCCGACAGUUCUGCUGUCACAGAGUGUAGGCACGCCCACAAGCUCAUCUUGAAGAUUCUCGGGGCGGCGGCGACGGCCCGCCAGAACAGGCUCGAGUGUGAGAACCUCGCACAGUGCCUGCACGAAAUCAACGCCUUGUUCCCUGACCUGCGGCUGGACCGGGAGAUGGCGCAACCGCUGGCCAAGCUAAACCAGAGGCUCAUGGAGGCGCAUGAGCUCGUUGUGGCUUGCCAGAGCUGGAAGUUCAUCUUUGCCCGCGGCGUCAAUGCGGAGCGGCUCAGGGACGUCAGGCGCAGGAUCCUUGAGUUCCACAUGUUUGUCAAGGAGAAGGAGCGCCUCUGGGCGAAAGAGAACACGAGAUGA